Molecule: transfer RNA, 66 nt
Filed under: Suwallia bimaculata
Lineage: Eukaryota; Metazoa; Arthropoda; Insecta; Plecoptera; Chloroperlidae
Description: tRNA-Ala
Rfam family: tRNA
About the family: Transfer RNA (tRNA) molecules are approximately 80 nucleotides in length. Their secondary structure includes four short double-helical elements and three loops (D, anti-codon, and T loops). Further hydrogen bonds mediate the characteristic L-shaped molecular structure. tRNAs have two regions of fundamental functional importance: the anti-codon, which is responsible for specific mRNA codon recognition, and the 3' end, to which the tRNAs corresponding amino acid is attached (by aminoacyl-tRNA synthetases). tRNAs cope with the degeneracy of the genetic code in two manners: having more than one tRNA (with a specific anti-codon) for a particular amino acid; and 'wobble' base-pairing, i.e. permitting non-standard base-pairing at the 3rd anti-codon position.
Source: RNAcentral
AGGACUGUAGUUAAGUAUAACAUUUGGUUUGCAUCUAAAAAGUAUUGGUUUAACCAAUCUGUCUUA